RNAcentral lists this ribosomal RNA (253 nucleotides) under uncultured bacterium. RNAcentral describes it as "partial 16S ribosomal RNA". It matches the Rfam family "Bacterial small subunit ribosomal RNA", at positions 524 to 776 of the family's 1533-position model. The record is from RNAcentral.
UACAGAGGUCUCAAGCGUUGUUCGGAAUCACUGGGCGUAAAGGGUGCGCAGGCUGCGCGGACAGUCAAUUGUGGAAUUCAAGGGCUCAACCCUUGGGCUGCACUUGAUACUUCCGUGCUCGAGCCUUGGAGAGGAGUCUGGAAUUCUCGGUGUAGCAGUGAAAUGCGUAGAUAUCGAGAGGAACACCAACGGCGAAAGCAAGACUCUGGACAUGUGCUGACACUCAUGCACGAAGGCCAGGGGAGCAAACGGG